Molecule: ribosomal RNA, 422 nt
Filed under: uncultured bacterium
Lineage: Bacteria
Description: bacterial SSU rRNA
Rfam family: Bacterial small subunit ribosomal RNA
Source: RNAcentral
UUGAACGCUGGCGGCAUGCCUUACACAUGCAAGUCGAACGGCAGCACGGGGGCAACCCUGGUGGCGAGUGGCGAACGGGUGAGUAAUGCAUCGGAACGUGCCCAGUAGUGGGGGAUAACUAGUCGAAAGAUUAGCUAAUACCGCAUACGACCUACGGGUGAAAGCGGGGGAUUUUCGGGCGACCGAGAACCUCGCGCUAUCGGAGCGGCCGAUGUCUGAUUAGCUAGUUGGCGGGGUAAAGCCCACCAAGGCUUCGAUCAGUAGCUGGUCUGAGAGGACGACCAGCCACACUGGGACUGAGACACGGCCCAGACUCCUACGGGAGGCAGCAGUGGGGAAUUUUGGACAAUGGGCGCAAGCCUGAUCCAGCCAUGCCGCGUGCGGGAAGAAGGCCUUCGGGUUGUAAACUCCUGUCGGCUGGG